RNAcentral lists this transfer RNA (54 nucleotides) under Sinergasilus polycolpus. Its description in RNAcentral is "tRNA-Ser". Lineage: Eukaryota; Metazoa; Arthropoda; Copepoda; Poecilostomatoida; Ergasilidae. The record is from RNAcentral.
UAAGCAGUUUUAAAACUUAUAAAAAUUGAUUUCUAAUCAAGUUUAAGCGGUUAA